AACGCUAGCUACAGGCUUAACACAUGCAAGUCGAGGGGAAACGACAUCGAAAGCUUGCUUUUGAUGGGCGUCGACCGGCGCACGGGUGAGUAACGCGUAUCCAACCUGCCCAUCACUUGGGAAUAACCUUGCGAAAGUAAGACUAAUACCCAAUGAUAUCCAUAGAAGACAUCUGAAAUGGAUUAAAGAUUUAUCGGUGAUGGAUGGGGAUGCGUCUGAUUAGCUUGUUGGCGGGGUAACGGCCCACCAAGGCGACGAUCAGUAGGGGUUCUGAGAGGAAGGUCCCCCACAUUGGAACUGAGACACGGUCCAAACUCCUACGGGAGGCAGCAGUGAGGAAUAUUGGUCAAUGGGCGAGAGCCUGAACCAGCCAAGUAGCGUGCAGGACGACGGCCCUAUGGGUUGUAAACUGCUUUUAUAAGGGAAUAAAGUGAGUCUCGCGAGGCUUUUUGCAUGUACCUUAUGAAUAAGGACCGGCUAAUUCCGUGCCAGCAGCCGCGGUAAUACGGAAGGUCCGGGCGUUAUCCGGAUUUAUUGGGUUUAAAGGGAGCGUAGGCCGGAGAUUAAGCGUGUUGUGAAAUGUAGUGGCUCAACCUCUGCACUGCAGCGCGAACUGGUCUUCUUGAGUACGCACAACGUGGGCGGAAUUCGUGGUGUAGCGGUGAAAUGCUUAGAUAUCACGAAGAACUCCGAUUG
This 696-nucleotide ribosomal RNA is filed under the name uncultured bacterium. RNAcentral describes it as "bacterial SSU rRNA". It matches the Rfam family "Bacterial small subunit ribosomal RNA", at positions 32 to 715 of the family's 1533-position model. The record is from RNAcentral.